CAGUAGCCGCGGUAAUACGAAGGGUGCAAGCGUUACUCGGAAUUACUGGGCGUAAAGCGUGCGUAGGUGGUGGUUUAAGUCCGUUGUAAAAGCCCUGGGCUCAACCUGGGAAUUGCAGUGGAUACUGGGUCACUAGAGUGUGGUAGAGGAUAGUGGAAUUUCCGGUGUAGCAGUGAAAUGCGUAGAGAUCGGAAGGAACAUCUGUGGCGAAGGCGACUAUCUGGGCCAACACUGACACUGAGGCACGAAAGCGUGGGGAGCAAACAGGAUUAGAUACCCCCGUAGUCCCUGUCUCUUAUAC
Molecule: ribosomal RNA, 301 nt
Filed under: uncultured bacterium
Lineage: Bacteria
Description: partial 16S ribosomal RNA
Rfam family: Bacterial small subunit ribosomal RNA
Source: RNAcentral